Molecule: ribosomal RNA, 497 nt
Filed under: uncultured bacterium
Lineage: Bacteria
Description: partial 16S ribosomal RNA
Rfam family: Bacterial small subunit ribosomal RNA
Source: RNAcentral
GAUGAACGCUGGCGGCGUGCCUAAUACAUGCAAGUCGAGCGGAAGGACGAUAAGCUUGCUUCUCGGAUGUUAGCGGCAGACGGGUGAGUAACGCGUGGAAAACCUACCUAUAAUACGGGGAAAACUUCGGAAAUCCGGAGCUAAUCCCGGAUAAUAUUCUGAUCCGCAGGGUUGAAAGGUGAAAGACGGUCUUGCGGUAACGUAUAGAGGGAUCCGCGCUGCAUGAUGUGGUUGGUAAGGUAACGGCUUUCGAAGGCAACGAUGCAUGACCGAGCUGAGAGGGUGAUCGGCCACACUGGAACUGAGACACGGUCCAGACUCCUACGGGAGGCAGCAGUAGGGAAUCUUCCGCAAUGGUCGGAAGCCUGACGGAGCAACGCCGCGUGAGUGAUGAAGGUCUUCGGAUCGUAAAACUCUGUUAUUAGGGAAGAACAUAUGUGUAAGUAACUGUGCACAUCUUGACGGUACCUAAUCAGAAAGCCACGGCUAACUACGUG